This 578-nucleotide long non-coding RNA is filed under the name Carica papaya (papaya). RNAcentral describes it as "long non-coding RNA (CPAP_LNC008456)". The record is from RNAcentral. Lineage: Eukaryota; Viridiplantae; Streptophyta; Magnoliopsida; Brassicales; Caricaceae.
AAACACAUAAGGUCUCCAUAUCCCGUUCGAUAUGAGAGACCACGUUCCCAGUAGGGUUCCUACGGACUCGGUCCGUCCACCAUCUCCCAAGAUAUCUAGUCAGGCUGUCCACAUUUUUCACUUAUCAAUUCACAUAACCUUUUUGCCUUUUUUUCUUAAUCUCAAUCAUCCAAUCAUACACAACAUGUAAAUCAGUAAUUGACACCAAACAAGAAAACACAGUAUCGGGUUCACCAUAAUACAAAUCAUAAUAAAAAAAACCAUGAUUCAUGCAUACGAGACCAUAACAUAAUUACAUCAAACAUCAUGCUGCAUUUAAUACUGAAAAUUAGAUCAAACAAUAACAAACCAACACUGUAUCAGACUCGAGCUCCAUUGGCAACCUCAAUCAAUUAUACAUCUAUAAAGUCUCAAAAUACCGUUUAAUUAUUUAUUAAGCUUUAAUACCGUGAUAGGAAAUAGAGUGAGGGGUCCUUACUUAUUUCAGGGUUUGAAUCGACUCUACAGUGCGCCUAAGAGCUGUCCCUAAUUUUUCUAAAUUUUUUUUUGGAAAACUGAAACGCACUAUCGGUACCUGC